AACGAACGCUGGCGGCAUGCCUAACACAUGCAAGUCGAACGAAGGCUUCGGCCUUAGUGGCGCACGGGUGCGUAACGCGUGGGAAUCUGCCCUUUGGUUCGGAAUAGCAGCUGGAAACGGCUGCUAAUACCGGAUGAUGACGAAAGUCCAAAGAUUUAUCGCCAGAGGAUGAGCCCGCGUUGGAUUAGGUAGUUGGUGGGGUAAAGGCCUACCAAGCCGACGAUCCAUAGCUGGUCUGAGAGGAUGAUCAGCCACACUGGGACUGAGACACGGCCCAGACUCCUACGGGAGGCAGCAGUGGGGAAUAUUGGACAAUGGGCGCAAGCCUGAUCCAGCAAUGCCGCGUGAGUGAUGAAGGCCCUAGGGUUGUAAAGCUCUUUUACCCGGGAAGAUAAUGACUGUACCGGGAGAAUAAGCCCCGGCUAACUCCGUG
This 433-nucleotide ribosomal RNA is filed under the name uncultured bacterium. RNAcentral's name for it is "partial 16S ribosomal RNA". It matches the Rfam family "Bacterial small subunit ribosomal RNA", at positions 29 to 507 of the family's 1533-position model. The record is from RNAcentral.